GACCAUCCUCCAAGGCUAAAUACUCCUGACUGACCGAUAGUGAACCAGUACCGUGAGGGAAAGGCGAAAAGAACCCCGGCGAGGGGAGUGAAAAAGAACCUGAAACCGUGUACGUACAAGCAGUGGGAGCCUCUUAAUGGGGUGACUGCGUACCUUUUGUAUAAUGGGUCAGCGACUUAUAUUCUGUAGCAAGGUUAACCGAAUAGGGGAGCCGAAGGGAAACCGAGUCUUAACUGGGCGUUAAGUUGCAGGGUAUAGACCCGAAACCCGGUGAUCUAGCCAUGGGCAGGUUGAAGGUUGGGUAACACUAACUGGAGGACCGAACCGACUAAUGUUGAAAAAUUAGCGGAUGACUUGUGGCUGGGGGUGAAAGGCCAAUCAAACCGGGAGAUAGCUGGUUCUCCCCGAAAGCUAUUUAGGUAGCGCCUCGUGAAUUCAUCUCCGGGGGUAGAGCACUGUUUCGGCAAGGGGGUCAUCCCGACUUACCAACCCGAUGCAAACUGCGAAUACCGGAGAAUGUUAUCACGGGAGACACACGGCGGGUGCUAACGUCCGUCGUGAAGAGGGAAACAACCCAGACCGCCAGCUAAGGUCCCAAAGUCAUGGUUAAGUGGGAAACGAUGUGGGAAGGCCCAGACAGCCAGGAUGUUGGCUUAGAAGCAGCCAUCAUUUAAAGAAAGCGUAAUAGCUCACUGGUCGAGUCGGCCUGCGCGGAAGAUGUAACGGGGCUAAACCAUGCACCGAAGCUGCGGCAGCGACGCUUAUGCGUUGUUGGGUAGGGGAGCGUUCUGUAAGCCUGUGAAGGUGUGCUGUGAGGCAUGCUGGAGGUAUCAGAAGUGCGAAUGCUGACAUAAGUAACGAUAAAGCGGGUGAAAAGCCCGCUCGCCGGAAGACCAAGGGUUCCUGUCCAACGUUAAUCGGGGCAGGGUGAGUCGACCCCUAAGGCGAGGCCGAAAGGCGUAGUCGAUGGGAAACAGGUUAAUAUUCCUGUACUUGGUGUUACUGCGAAGGGGGGACGGAGAAGGCUAUGUUGGCCGGGCGACGGUUGUCCCGGUUUAAGCGUGUAGGCUGGUUUUCCAGGCAAAUCCGGAAAACCAAGGCUGAGGCGUGAUGA
This 1114-nucleotide ribosomal RNA is filed under the name Escherichia coli. Its description in RNAcentral is "partial 23S ribosomal RNA". It matches the Rfam family "Bacterial large subunit ribosomal RNA", at positions 451 to 1569 of the family's 2925-position model. Lineage: Bacteria; Pseudomonadati; Pseudomonadota; Gammaproteobacteria; Enterobacterales; Enterobacteriaceae. The record is from RNAcentral.